GUAACACAUGCCUUUUUCAAAGUCACAGUCUGGGCUGGUUUGGGCUAUGGCUCCUGCAACAGCAAGGCUUGAUUAGAAGAAGCAGGGAUAGUAAACUAAAUCGACGCGAAAGGAUAAACGUCGACAAAAAGAGUGUAAUUUAGCAAGAAAAGGGCAGAAACACUUCCCUAUGAACAGCGGUCUCACAGGGAUCUUUGGUGUAGUGCAUAGAUGUGUAGCGGUAGGAAUGAGGAGAGAAAGAAAAAAAAAGAAUCAAAGUAAGGAUAGAUUGUGGCAACGUUAUACACACGCCGCUGACCAGAAAGACUGACUUGCAAACGAGAGGCGGACAGCAUACCGACAAGUACUUUGCCGUGUUUAGCACCUUUCGCCAGCACUCCCGCCCCAGAAUUUCCCUUGGUCGCGUCACACGUGGUCACCAUGACGUCUCGAGAGCUGUAGGGAAGCGGUUUGCAGCGUGACAUGCGCAUCGUUAGGUUGUUGUCAAAAGCUGACCAAAAAAGUAUAUUAGAAUUUUUAGAGAGGCAAACUCUCGCGCGCAAAUAAUAAAAAAAAGACUUAUUUAGUGCUUACUAAACUGCAAAAAAGGUUUUUUUUGUCAGUAAGUGCUUAUUUUCGUCGUUUUCUUGCGUGACGGGCGCAGUCAUUUCUAAGUUUAUUUUGGCUUGAAUUUGCCACUCAAAAUAUCGCGUGAGUUCUUAGUGAAAGUCGCCUAGUAUUAGCUGGGAACAAGGCAAUAAGAUAGUGCCACGGUAGCACAGCGAGACGGACUUUGCGGAGGAUUGGUAUUUUUGAGAGGUGUAAAAUCUUGCCUUUCUAGUGGGAACGGGACUUAUGAUUUUAAACUGCGUGUAGCCUUCUGUAUCUCUAUUGACGAAACACAAAAUAAAAACUAGUUUUCAUAGUA
Molecule: long non-coding RNA, 907 nt
Organism: Nematostella vectensis (starlet sea anemone)
Lineage: Eukaryota; Metazoa; Cnidaria; Anthozoa; Actiniaria; Edwardsiidae
Exons: 3
Source: RefSeq, a predicted model, not a curated record